RNAcentral lists this ribosomal RNA (446 nucleotides) under uncultured bacterium. Its description in RNAcentral is "partial 16S ribosomal RNA". It matches the Rfam family "Bacterial small subunit ribosomal RNA", at positions 331 to 794 of the family's 1533-position model. The record is from RNAcentral.
CCAGACUCCUACGGGAGGCAGCAGUAGGGAAUAUUGCUCAAUGGGGGAAACCCUGAAGCAGCAACGCCGCGUGGAGGAUGAAGGUUUUCGGAUUGUAAACUCCUUUUGUUAGAGAAGAUAAUGACGGUAUCUAACGAAUAAGCACCGGCUAACUCCGUGCCAGCAGCCGCGGUAAUACGUAGGUGGCAAGCGUUGUCCGGAUUUACUGGGUGUAAAGGGCGUGUAGCCGGGUUGACAAGUCAGAUGUGAAAUCCUGCGGCUUAACCGCAGAACUGCAUUUGAAACUGUUAUUCUAGAGUAUGGGAGAGGUAGGUGGAAUUCUUGGUGUAGGGGUAAAAUCCGUAGAGAUCAAGAGGAAUACUCAUUGCGAAGGCGACCUGCUAGAACAUAACUGACGCUGAUGCGCGAAAGCGUGGGGAGCAAACAGGAUUAGAUACCCUCGUAGA